GACGAACGCUGGCGGCGUGCCUAAUACAUGCAAGUAGAACGCUGAAGGAGGAGCUUGCUUCUCUGGAUGAGUUGCGAACGGGUGAGUAACGCGUAGGUAACCUGCCUGGUAGCGGGGGAUAACUAUUGGAAACGAUAGCUAAUACCGCAUAAUAGUAGAUGUUGCAUGACAUUUGCUUAAAAGGUGCAAUUGCAUCACUACCAGAUGGACCUGCGUUGUAUUAGCUAGUUGGUGAGGUAACGGCUCACCAAGGCGACGAUACAUAGCCGACCUGAGAGGGUGAUCGGCCACACUGGGACUGAGACACGGCCCAGACUCCUACGGGAGGCAGCAGUAGGGAAUCUUCGGCAAUGGACGGAAGUCUGACCGAGCAACGCCGCGUGAGUGAAGAAGGUUUUCGGAUCGUAAAGCUCUGUCGUAAGAGAAGAACGAGUGUGAGAGUGGAAAGUUCACACUGUGACGGUAUCUUACCAGAAAGGGACGGCUAACUACGUG
This 495-nucleotide ribosomal RNA is filed under the name uncultured bacterium. RNAcentral describes it as "partial 16S ribosomal RNA". It matches the Rfam family "Bacterial small subunit ribosomal RNA", at positions 28 to 507 of the family's 1533-position model. The record is from RNAcentral.